Molecule: long non-coding RNA, 317 nt
Filed under: Carica papaya (papaya)
Lineage: Eukaryota; Viridiplantae; Streptophyta; Magnoliopsida; Brassicales; Caricaceae
Description: long non-coding RNA (CPAP_LNC010665)
Source: RNAcentral
CGGAGUAUUGAGGUUUAAUGUCUUGACACUCAUACCGGAUAGGGUAUGGGGACGGCCCUGGAAUUAAGCUUGUUAAGGAAAAGGGUUCAUGUGUAGUGGAGACACCCCUAUGGAUCCCCAUGGAUACUAGUAGGCUGAUGAAACGAGAAACGAUGAUGAUUAGUUAUUGUCAAUGAAUAAGAAUUUAUGAUAUGUUUUAUGUCACUGAUUGUGCAUGAAGUUAUGAUCUGCAUGAUGUUAUUGUCUUUAUAGAUUGUUUUCAUAAAUUCCAUAAUGGUAAGUGAACUGUAAAUGGUUUUAUUUAUGAUAAACGAAUU